RNAcentral lists this long non-coding RNA (219 nucleotides) under Elaeis guineensis (African oil palm). Its description in RNAcentral is "long non-coding RNA (EGUI_LNC002322)". The record is from RNAcentral. Lineage: Eukaryota; Viridiplantae; Streptophyta; Magnoliopsida; Arecales; Arecaceae.
GUGUUAGCAUGGGGAGACGGCUGCGGUCCUGGUGGCUAGUGCAAUUUCAACAAAUUGAUCGAAUCACGAUGUGACAUGCCAAUGCAAUGUCAGCAUGAUGAGUCCUUUUGGCAGCAAUAAUUGAUAGGGAAAUGAAGCCAUGCCAAUCUGAUUCCUGUAUUCAAGUACCUAAGAUUCAUGCAGCAUCAUGGACUACGAAGCACGCCAUGAUCUACUCAC